This 5359-nucleotide long non-coding RNA is filed under the name Lotus japonicus. Its description in RNAcentral is "long non-coding RNA (LJAP_LNC000998)". Lineage: Eukaryota; Viridiplantae; Streptophyta; Magnoliopsida; Fabales; Fabaceae. The record is from RNAcentral.
UUGAAACAUCAAAAUCUGGAAGCACUGACAAUAGCUCUGAAUUGCCAUUGAAGGAAGAUGUUGGGGAGACUUGGAAACCAAGUAAGGUUGACAAGACAUCAAUUACAAUUCCUGGAGAGGAUGAAGUUUCUCAACAAAAUAAUCCUGCAAAGAAAACUAGAGUUUGUGUGAGAGCAAGAUGUGACACCCUCACUGUAAUUAUCUCUACAUCUCUCAUGCUCUACAUUUAGAAUUUGGGUUCAUAAAAACUUUUAAUAGAAAAAGUUAUAUGUAUUUAUCACUUUGAUUUGUUAAAACAGAUGAAUGAUGGAUGCCAAUGGAGGAAAUAUGGACAGAAGAUUUCAAAGGGAAACCCUUGCCCUCGAGCUUACUAUCGUUGCACAGUUGCACCCUCUUGUCCUGUCAGAAAGCAGGUAAAUUUUGUAGACCUAGCAAAUUUUAGAAUUUGAAUCCUGUGGAGCAAGUUGUUCUCUGCAGUCAUGCAGCAGUAAUGCUACAUGUUUUUAUUUUAGAACAUAAUAUGACAUAGUAAGGGAAAAAAUGUACGGAACCCCUCAAAUUUUAAAGGAACACAGGGAAUUCACCUAUGAAAAUUACACCUAUUUUUUUAUUUAAAAUGUAUAGAAAAAAUAUUUUAUCAACUUAAGAUGAAGUUAUUUAACUCCUUGGAGUAAGUUAGCUUGAAAGCCUCACUUCAACAGUUUGAUCCUUAUGACCUGCGUUUUUUAGGGAGAUCUUGGGCAUUUACCGCCCUCAGCUAAGUUGAGUUAAGGUGAUUUGUGAGAGCAAUUUAAAAAAAAAAAAGUUACACAGCCCCACUAAAAAUAUAUCCAAAUAAAAUUUUAAAAUUGCGUGCUAAUACCUUUCUUAAACUUGUGAUUUUUAUGUGUAAUUGUGUUCCUCUAAGUUUUAUCAAUCUUUCUUAUGGAACAAGUAAUAUAGUGGAUUAACAUGCACUCUAUGCAACACCACAGGUGCAAAGAUGUGCUCAGGACAUGUCCAUUUUGAUCACCACCUACGAAGGGAACCACAACCACCCUCUUCCUCUUUCCGCCACCGCCAUGGCCUCCACCACUUCCGCCGCUGCCUCCAUGCUACUGUCCGGCUCAUCAACCUCCCACGCCGGAUCAACAACCGCAGAUCUUCAUGGAAUGAACUUUUGUCUUUCCGACGGAUCCAAAUCAAAGCAAUUUUACAUGUCUCAUCCUGCACUAUCACCUUCACCUUCACACCCCACCAUCACUCUUGACCUCACUACUUCCAAUAAUAAUCUACCUUUAUCCUCACUUCCUUUUGGUAGAUUCACUUCAAAUUUCAACAACCCCCCAAGAUACCCUUCUUCCACAAGUUUGAACUUCAGUAACUCAGAGUCCAAUGCAAUGUCUUGGAGCAAUGGCUUCCUCAGCUACAACACUUCUCUACCAUAUAACAACAACAACAUCCUUAGCAACCCUGGACGACAACAACAACAACAACCAAUGGAAAAUAACAUCUUGAAUUCUUACAUGCAAAGGAACAAUAACAAUGUUCCUACAGACACUAUUGCGGAGGCAACGAAAGCAAUCACAGCAGAUCCAACUUUUCAGUCAGCUUUGGCAGCAGCACUUACAUCAAUCAUUGGCAGUACUGGAUCAAGCACUACUACUCAAGGAUUAAACCAGAAUAAUGUUGGAGAGAUUUUGGGUAAGAAAAGGAAAUGGGAGGAGUUGUUUCCAUCAUCUUCUUCUACUUUACCAUUUUCUAUCCCCAAAAGCGCGUCUGCGUCUCCGGAUGAUAAUAGAGACUAGAUCCAGACUAUAGACAAAUUAAUCUGUGGGGUUUCUUUAGCUAGAUAGAAACUUCGCCUGCAAUUAUGUAAUUAUGUGAAAGAAUAAUUUUGAGAAUGGACACAUAAAUAAAGAUUGUUGUAUGUAAAGCUUGAUUUAGGGAUGAUAUCCUAUGAUGCAUGGGGUACUCAUUUUGUUGUUGUACCCACCCAGUAGCGGUACUCCUUGGAUACUUGAAAAUACGUGUCGGUAUAUUCCGAAAUAAUUUUUCAAACAAUAAAAAUUAGGUGCUACAUUGGUGCUUUUUAGGUACUUCUUGGUACAUAUUAACCAAAGCUAAAGUUUGUAUUAAGUUUUAAUACCUUUUAUGUAUCUGAUUACCGCCCGUUAAGUCUGAUAGGAAGCAUUUACAAGCUCAUCUCCAAAGUCUUGGCAUCUCAGCUUCAAGGUGUUAUGCCCUCAUCAUCUCCGAUAAUCAGUUCGCUUUUACCCAAGGGAGACAAAUUGCAGAUUGCAUACCCAUUGCAAAUGAGGUGGUAGAUGCUAUGAGGAAGAGUGAAGAGGGUGGAAUUGUUCUGAAACUAGACUUCGCUAAAGCCUAUGAUAAUAUAGAUUGGUCAUUAAUUCUUGUUGGAUCUACUGGUAGAAAUGGGGUUUGGGACAAAGUGGGUGAGAUAGAUGAAGGAAUGUGUGACGACGACAAAUCUAGCGGUGUUCGUAAAUGGUUCCCCCAAGGAUUUUUUAAAUAUUGAGAAAGGGCUUCAUCAAGGGGAUCCUCUUUCCCCGCUACUCUUCAACAUUUGCAUCAAUGGUCUCUCAUGUAUGCUGAAUAAAUUGGGAAGCAAUGAUACUCCAAGUGGAUUUCGCACUAUGCCUCAACCAUUUACAAUUUGCGGACGAUACCCUUAUCUUCUGCAGAAAUAAUGUUGAUCAAGUCUAGAAAAUUGGGGUUGCCCUAGAUAUUUUCUUAGCUAUUUCGGGUCUUAAGGUGAAUUAUUCCAAAUCUCAAAUUCUGGGUUGCAAAGUGAGUCAGGAGGAGUUCAGGAACUUGGUAGAUUUGCUUGAUGUAAGUGUGGGGACUUUGCCCAUCAAUUACCUCGGUGCUGCCUUGGGGGACAAUCCGAGGAGAAAAGUUUGGCAAAGAUAGAGAUGCUAUUUGGAGACGAGUGGUAUGUGCAAAAUAUAAUUGUGAUCCAAAUUUGCUGUUGUUACAUGUGAUGACUUUUACCACUUCACACUUCUCUGUGUAUAUCCAAGACAUUUUCAAAACUGUGAGGAAGACUCUAUUAUAGCAAAAGUUUUCAAAGAAGGUUGCUUUUGUUGUGUUGGAUCGGGCCAUAACAUCCGUUUUUAGCUUGACCCUUGGCUGGAAAUGACUCCCCUCUAUUCCAGAUUUCCCCGUUUUUUUCCCAUAGCACAAGACAAAAAUGUGGUCAUUUCUUCCUUUGGAACCUACAACAAUGGAUCUUAGUCAUGGUUGAUUAAUUUCCGGCGUCGGCUCUUUGAUUGGGAAACAGAAUUACUAAGACAGCUCAAGGUUGCCCUCAAUUCAAUCAUCCCCUGCAAAGGUUCAUAUUCAAUUAUUUGGACGGGGGAUCCAAAUGGCCGGUUUUCAGUUAAAAUCUUAUGUGCAGUUGUAGAGAUUAGGAUUUUUGGAGAGUUGUCAUGGAAGGUUCCAAAGAAGAUUCGCACAAUUGCACCCCCCAAAGUCGUGUUAUUUGUGUGGCAAUUAUUGGAAAACCGAAUAGCAGUAAAGGGAAACCUGAUCAAAAGAGGUGUUGUGAUUGAAAAUGGAGGAACCUGUGACAUUUUUGGAUUUCAGGAAGAAAUUGAAGCUCAUCUAAUGCUCCGGUGUAUGCAAUCAUGGAGAUUGUGGUGCUCAAUAAUGGCUAGAGAGGAUAUAGUCUGGUGUAUUCCUCACUCUUUCAAAGAAUUGAUGGAUGAAUGGCCCUAUCUAAGGGUUGGCUCAGAUCCUCUUCUCUGGGACCUAAUUUCGUAUGUGUUGAGCUGGUCAAUUUGGCAUGCCCGAAACGAUACCAUUUUCAACCAACAAGUGUUUUCUUUUGAAGGUGUAUGAGAUAUUCAUAUCAUGCGGGUCAUGUGGUGGAUCAAAGCUUGGUGAAAGAAGUGUCCCUUUUCCUCUUUUUAUUUUGCCCAACAUUUUAAAAAGGUUCGGCUUAAAUCCAAUGCCCCCAAGGUGUGAGCUGUUGAUUUGUGUCCACUGCAAUUGGGUAUGAUCAAGUUUAAUGUUGAUGGCUCAUCCCGAGGUAAUCCGGGUGUUAGUGGUAUUGGGGGCACUUUGCGGGAUGCAAAUGGAAUUAGUCUUGGAUUUUUCUCCAAACCUUUGGGGUUGUCCUGGGCUUAUAUUGCAGAAAUAAAAGCAAUUUUGGAGGCAUUACUGUUCUGCAAAAGACAUGUGAUUGUGGAGAGUGACUCCACCUUAGCGGUGGGUUGGGUCAUGAACAGGUCUAAUAGGUCAUGGAAACUGUUUAAUGAUCUUAAUCAGAUUGAUAUGCUAAUGGAGGAGGUGGGGUGUUUCGGCGUUGUUCAUAUCUAUAGAGAAGCCAAUACCGUUGUCGAUCACCUGACAAAGAAUGGUUGUGACAGAUCUGAAGCACUUGUGAGCUUUACCUCCUGGUGUCUUAAUACCAAGUGUGUUGUGACAUUCAUGCCAGAGCUAAUUUCUUAUGUUUGCUUGCUUGAUUCAUGACCUCUGGCGGCCCCUUGUGUGCCUUCAACCUUGCUAUCGUUUUUUUUAAUUCUUUGUAGUUGUUCUUAUCUUUUGUUCCUUUUGUCUGUUAUUUUUUUUAGUUCCCUGGGCUAUGCCCGGCUUGUUGAACUUUUCCUCUCCUUGGAGUCUUUAUUCUCCUGGAGUUAUUAUCAAUAAUAUUUUCUUUUUCCAAAAAAUGUAUACAAGAAAUAUAGAAAAUGACAUGACAUUAGCACUAGAUCCUAAGUGAAGGAAACACUUUUCAAAAUAGAUUUUUUCCCGUUGUACAAAGUAUAAUAAAUUUUCUUAUGGAUCAUUCAAUUUAGGUAGGAGACCACUAACUAUCUCUGAGUGAUGAUUUUCAAUUUAUCCAUUAUCUCUAAAACCCUAUGAAACUCAUAAGCAUAGUCAUCAUGGCGUUCGGGAAAACUUACCCCGUGUAGUACUUGAGUCAGUAGAAACUCUUGCAAUACUAUUUGUCUAGCUUCCCCUUGGUGCUUUUUUCGUUACUCUCUCACUCCAAUCACGCCUUAUAUAUGGCGAAUGCUUUAUAUCUUCCUUUGAAUUUGGCUUUGUUUGUGAAGGAAAUUUGUCUUGUGCUAUUUGAGAGAGUAUGGUUGCUAUAUUAGCCAUCUGAGUCUCCAAGGUUUUGAAUCUCUCUUUAGUUUUGUUUAUGUUUUGCAUCAAGAGAACCUAUAAGCUUGGACUCCAUUCCUCUUGCCCUUGGAUCUGAUUUUGCAUGUGAGGGGGCCUAUUGGGGUUCCUUGUGUUUGAGCCUUCUAUUGGUCUCCACUCCAAGAAAGGUUUAGAUGGUUUCUCCAUCCAGGAUUGUAAAUGUUGGAAUAUGGGUCUGCGUGACUCUUCUAAGUACCCACAAAAUUAG